AGUGUUCCAGAGGACAUCUGCAGGCUGCAGAAACGCUAUGGAAGUUGGAGAAAUGACACCCUGUCUGCAGUGUUUUACAAUUCUGAAGUAAGCAGUUUCAAGCGUACUGAAAAGCACAGGCUCUUCUAGUCAGCUCUUACUCUUUGCUCUCUGCCAUGUUAUGAAAACAGAAUUUGAACUUGAAUUCCAUGAUUUGAAAAAGAGGAUCUGCAGACGAGUUAAAACUGCAGAGGAUAAACUGAUAUCCAAGAAGAUAUUUUUGAAACCAAUCUUCAUGUCAGUUUCUUGAAAAAAGGAAAGCAUUUACAAGGAGUAACAAGGGAUUGAUGAAUGAAGUGGACAGAAUUAUUUGCAGAGAUGUAUGCGUCUUACUUCUCUGUGACUCCUGAAUUCAAACAGCAGGCUGGUUUUACUGAAGAAUCAUGAUAAUGUACAGUCUUGUGAGCACUGUCAGGAAAAGGAGCCAUGAAAUACUGUUUAAUCUCCAGAAGAGUCCCAGGAAUGAUUUUCAAGACCCAUUUCCUUCUGCUUCGCUACUAGGCUACUGCCGGUGACGUUUUAUGACUGCACUUGAGUGGCUCUUGCAUCUGAGCACAACAGACAAAGAAAUAAGCUGAUGCCUUAAGAAUUGCAAAGUGAAAAUGGUGAAAAUAGUGGAGAGGAAGUGAUUUCAGGGUGAAGAGAAUAUGUUUAUUUUUGAGGGGAUAAGAACAGUCUUCUGGGAAUUCACAUAGGCUCGUUCUAGUCUGAUACCAUUCUCCAGGGCAGUAUUGUGUUUUGAAUGGAAAUUGGGCUGUAUGAGAUCCCCUGCUUCUCCUCUUGUCUACUCAAAGCUAGUGAGCAUGGAGAAAUUGUGAGCUGUGAGAGACAGAACAUAAGGAAAAUGUUGGCUUUGAAGCCCAGUUGUCCACGGGAGUUUGUGCACCUAUGCUACUGUGAAUAAUCAGCAGAUGAUGCUUUUUUCUCUGUUUUCAUGCUUCUUCUCAGAUACCACUGACCUGAACUAAUGCAACCAGAUACUUCCAGACUUAAAUCUAGAUCCCUCAGGGUGGUAAUUCAAAGUUGAACAUGUUGAUGUAAAUUAAGGAAGACUUAAUUCACAAGCCGUGUAUCUGUAUGAAGGCUCAUAUAUAUCUAACCCAGGGAUUUUUUUCAUCUCUUGGUUAGAGGAGUGGGUCUGGUAACUAGAAUUCUAAUCUUUCUAAUACUGUCUCAGCAUAAUGUGUGUGUUGCCUUUGUGCUUGAUUGGCUCAACUAUCACACGAAUCCAUACUAAUAAUAAU
Molecule: long non-coding RNA, 1283 nt
Filed under: Gallus gallus (chicken)
Lineage: Eukaryota; Metazoa; Chordata; Aves; Galliformes; Phasianidae
Description: lncRNA (ENSGALG00010011315.1)
Source: RNAcentral